Molecule: ribosomal RNA, 451 nt
Filed under: Capnocytophaga sp. LUMC-DogNido1
Lineage: Bacteria; Pseudomonadati; Bacteroidota; Flavobacteriia; Flavobacteriales; Flavobacteriaceae
Description: bacterial SSU rRNA
Rfam family: Bacterial small subunit ribosomal RNA
Source: RNAcentral
UCGAGGGGUAAGCUACUUCGGUAGCCUAGACCGGCGCACGGGUGCGUAACGCGUGUACAAUCUACCUUUUACAGAGGGAUAACCUGAAGAAAUUUGGACUAAUACCUCAUAGUAUUAUUUUGUGGCAUCACAGGAUAAUUAAAGCUAAGGCGGUAAAAGAUGAGUACGCGUUCUAUUAGCUAGUUGGUAAGGUAACGGCUUACCAAGGCUACGAUAGAUAGGGGUUCUGAGAGGGAUGUCCCCCACACUGGUACUGAGACACGGACCAGACUCCUACGGGAGGCAGCAGUGAGGAAUAUUGGACAAUGGUCGGAAGACUGAUCCAGCCAUGCCGCGUGCAGGAUGACGGCCUUAUGGGUUGUAAACUGCUUUUGCAGGGGAAGAAUAAGGAGUACGUGUACUUUGAUGACGGUACUCUGCGAAUAAGCAUCGGCUAACUCCGUGCCAGCAG